This 1206-nucleotide ribosomal RNA is filed under the name uncultured Halomonas sp. Its description in RNAcentral is "bacterial SSU rRNA". It matches the Rfam family "Bacterial small subunit ribosomal RNA", at positions 170 to 1377 of the family's 1533-position model. Lineage: Bacteria; Pseudomonadati; Pseudomonadota; Gammaproteobacteria; Oceanospirillales; Halomonadaceae. The record is from RNAcentral.
CGCAUACGUCCUACGGGAGAAAGGGGGCUCCGGCUCCCGCUAUGGGAUGAGCCUAUGUCGGAUUAGCUAGUUGGUGAGGUAACGGCUCACCAAGGCCACGAUCCGUAGCUGGUCUGAGAGGAUGAUCAGCCACAUCGGGACUGAGACACGGCCCGAACUCCUACGGGAGGCAGCAGUGGGGAAUAUUGGACAAUGGGGGAAACCCUGAUCCAGCCAUGCCGCGUGUGUGAAGAAGGCCCUCGGGUUGUAAAGCACUUUCAGCGAGGAAGAACGCCUAGCGGUUAAUACCCGCUAGGAAAGACAUCACUCGCAGAAGAAGCACCGGCUAACUCCGUGCCAGCAGCCGCGGUAAUACGGAGGGUGCAAGCGUUAAUCGGAAUUACUGGGCGUAAAGCGCGCGUAGGUGGCUUGAUAAGCCGGUUGUGAAAGCCCCGGGCUCAACCUGGGAACGGCAUCCGGAACUGUCAAGCUAGAGUGCAGGAGAGGAAGGUAGAAUUCCCGGUGUAGCGGUGAAAUGCCUAGAGAUCGGGAGGAAUGCCAGUGGCGAAGGCGGCCUUCUGGACUGACACUGACACUGAGGUGCGAAAGCGUGGGUAGCAAACAGGAUUAGAUACCCUGGUAGUCCACGCCGUAAACGAUGUCGACCGGCCGUUGGGUGCCUAGCGCACUUUGUGGCGAAGUUAACGCGAUAAGUCGACCGCCUGGGGAGUACGGCCGCAAGGUUAAAACUCAAAUGAAUUGACGGGGGCCCGCACAAGCGGUGGAGCAUGUGGUUUAAUUCGAUGCAACGCGAAGAACCUUACCUACUCUUGACAUCCUGCGAAUUUGGUAGAGAUACCUUAGUGCCUUCGGGAACGCAGAGACAGGUGCUGCAUGGCUGUCGUCAGCUCGUGUUGUGAAAUGUUGGGUUAAGUCCCGUAACGAGCGCAACCCUUGUCCUUAUUUGCCAGCGCGUAAUGGCGGGAACUCUAAGGAGACUGCCGGUGACAAACCGGAGGAAGGUGGGGACGACGUCAAGUCAUCAUGGCCCUUACGAGUAGGGCUACACACGUGCUACAAUGGUCGGUACAAAGGGUUGCCAACUCGCGAGAGUGAGCCAAUCCCGAAAAGCCGAUCUCAGUCCGGAUCGGAGUCUGCAACUCGACUCCGUGAAGUCGGAAUCGCUAGUAAUCGUGGAUCAGAAUGCCACGGUGAAUACGUUCCCGG